CUGGAUAUGCAUUAUUCAUAAAUGCAGACAAAAGUGUGGAAUUAGCAAUCCAUAGGAGGAGCAACAUUUUCAUCACCUAAUUCUGCUGAAGCUACAUAGCAGAAUUUGUAGUCUCUGAACACACAAGAUGAUUUAGUCAGAGCAUCUGAUAUGUAAAUAACAAAAGCUGGUAUAUAUGAAAAUGUAGAAGCGAGAUUGUCCUUGGAAAAUUUAGUAGAUAAUUACUAGUCAACUUCAGCAGCCGAAUCACCCAUUGACCCAAGCGAGCAGGAGAAGCACAUUGUAUCCUCGUUGAUCCACAACAAUGGGGAAACAAGCUGUUGGGGAGUGUUGCCGGAGGAAUUUCAGAUGCGUGGAAAAGCACCUAGCAGAAAAAGAAAAAAAGAUGAACACAUGCUCCAGUAUAAUCUGAGGCGCCAGCCUCUUAAUCAAAACAAUUAGUAUUACUCCCAUCUAUUAACAAUGGCCUGAGAUGCUCAUAUAUAGGCUAGUGCAAGAUAGUAGUACUAGGAAUCCAACGUGGUUGGAACAAACAAGAUGAACAAGUGAUUUAACAGAGAGAAACUAUAGCCACCGACCUGAACAGGAAUAUCGCUAUGUAUAGGAGACCGGCUACCAGCAGAACAGCAGCAAGCGACACAUGCAGCAACAGAUGAUUUUUGGGAAAGGACCUAUAUUUUUACAUCAGCAACACACCCAUAUGCAACCAUAUAGCCGCAGUAGUACUCUACGUAUAGCCGUCGUAGAACUUCACGGCCGCUCAUUAAACUACUGUUCAUCAUUUCCUUGUUCAACUAGGUGGUUUUUCCUUCGACUAUUCAUUGCUUUAUGUCAUUAUAGAACAUAGAUGAUAGUGAUACCCUCGUUAAGCUAUUUGUACAAAGCAUAUGUAAGCCCAUCUUUCGUAAGUUAGCAAGUAUAGGUUAAUGCAAUAACUCGACAGACAUGUACAGAAAGCAAACUGAUGCAGAUUUGUAAUUCUUCUCUCCAGCAAUGCACUUGUAUCAACUGAAAAUACAUUUUUUUAAGUUAGCAGGAGGGCUGCUAAGAUACCAUUUUAGAAGAUGUUCACCUCAAUCAUAGAGCAGAGUACCGACAAUUGAUGAGUAGUAAUGUGCCUCCAACUCCUUAAGGCUUGCUGCUACCUCCUGCGGUCCUGCCCCAAUCCUCCCAGCAUUUUAUCUGUCCCCUCUGCCUGCUGAGCACCUCAAUGUUUAAGCAUAAACACAAACAGUGGAGAAAGAGUUGUACGCGAGCGCUACGAUCGAGUUGCACCUUAGCUAGGAGUCGGGCAACGGCGAGCUGCACCUCAGCUACGGCCACACCCAUGGCACGGGCGUGAUUUUGGGCGGAGCCGUAGAAGGCACAUUUAUUCC
RNAcentral lists this long non-coding RNA (1376 nucleotides) under Triticum aestivum (bread wheat). RNAcentral's name for it is "long non-coding RNA (TAES_LNC003822)". The record is from RNAcentral. Lineage: Eukaryota; Viridiplantae; Streptophyta; Magnoliopsida; Poales; Poaceae.